This 549-nucleotide ribosomal RNA is filed under the name uncultured Lysinibacillus sp. Its description in RNAcentral is "bacterial SSU rRNA". It matches the Rfam family "Bacterial small subunit ribosomal RNA", at positions 312 to 861 of the family's 1533-position model. Lineage: Bacteria; Bacillati; Bacillota; Bacilli; Caryophanales; Bacillaceae. The record is from RNAcentral.
CGUCAAUUUCUUUUGGUUUGCUGUAAGGUCCCCCGAGGGAAUUUUUCGCAAACGGGCCUCAGCUGAUGGAGCAACGCCGCGUGAGUGAUGAAGGAUUUCGGUUCGUAAAACUCUCUUGUAAGGGAAGAACAAGUACAGUAGUAACUGGGUGUACCUUGACGGUACCCUAUUAGAAAGCCACGGGUAAAUAUGUGCCAGCAGCCGCGGUAAUAUGUAGGUGGCAAGCGUUGUCCGGAAUUAUUGGGCGUAAAGCGCGCGCAGGUGGUUUCUUAAGUGUGAUGUGAAAGCCCACGGCUCAACCGUGGAGGGUCAUUGGAAACUGGGAGACUUGAGUGCAGAAGAGGAUAGUGGAAUUUCAAGUGUAGCGGUGAAAUGUGUAGAGAUUUGGAGGAACACCAGUGGCGAAGGGGACUAUCUGGUCUGUAACUGACACUGAGGCGCGAAAGCGUGGGGAGCAAACAGGAUUAGAUACCCUGGUAGUCCACGCCGUAAACGAUGAGUGCUAAGUGUUAGGGGGUUUCCGCCCCUUAGUGCUGCAGCUAACGCAUU